AUUGAACGCUGGCGGUAGGCCUAACACAUGCAAGUCGAACGAGUGGCGGACGGGUGAGUAAUGUCUGGGAAACCGCCGGAUGGAGGGGGACAACUACUGGAAACGGUAGCUAAUACCGCAUACCCUCAGAUGUGCCCAGAUGGGAGUAGCUUGUUGGUGGGGUAACGGCUCACCAAGGCGACGAUCCCUAGCUGGUCUGAGCGGAAUACCAGGCACACUGGAACGGAGACACGGUCCAGAAUCCUACGGGAGGUAGCAGUGGGGAAUAUUGCACACUGGGCCCAGGCCUGAUGCAGCUGUGGCUCGUGUAUAAAGAAGACCUUCGGGUUGUAGAGUACUUUCAGCGGCGAAGCUUUACCCGCGGAUGAAGCACCGGCUAACUCCGCGCCAGCAGCCGCGGUAAUUC
This 406-nucleotide ribosomal RNA is filed under the name uncultured bacterium. Its description in RNAcentral is "partial 16S ribosomal RNA". It matches the Rfam family "Bacterial small subunit ribosomal RNA", at positions 30 to 526 of the family's 1533-position model. The record is from RNAcentral.